This 446-nucleotide ribosomal RNA is filed under the name uncultured bacterium. Its description in RNAcentral is "bacterial SSU rRNA". It matches the Rfam family "Bacterial small subunit ribosomal RNA", at positions 330 to 793 of the family's 1533-position model. The record is from RNAcentral.
ACCAGACUCCUACGGGAGGCAGCAGUGGGGAAUAUUGCACAAUGGGGGAAACCCUGAUGCAGCGACGCCGCGUGAAGGAUGAAGUAUUUCGGUAUGUAAACUUCUAUCAGCAGGGAAGAAAAUGACGGUACCUGACUAAGAAGCCCCGGCUAACUACGUGCCAGCAGCCGCGGUAAUACGUAGGGGGCAAGCGUUAUCCGGAUUUACUGGGUGUAAAGGGAGCGUAGACGGCAUGGCAAGUCUGAUGUGAAAGCCCGGGGCCCAACCCCGGGACUGCUCUUGGAACUGCGUGGCUGGAGUGCAGGAGGGGCAGGCGGAAUUCCUGGUGUAGCGGUGAAAUGCGUAGAUAUCAGGAGGAACACCGGUGGCGAAGGCGGCCUGCUGGACUGCAACUGACGUUGAGGCCCGAAAGCGUGGGGAGCAAACAGGAUUAGAUACCCCAGUAC